AACGAACGCUGGCGGCAUGCCUAACACAUGCAAGUCGAACGAGACCUUCGGGUCUAGUGGCGCACGGGUGCGUAACGCGUGGGAACCUGCCCUUAGGUUCGGAAUAACUCCCCGAAAGGGGUGCUAAUACCGGAUAAUUUCUUCGGACCAAAGAUUUAUCGCCUUUGGAUGGGCCCGCGUUGGAUUAGCUAGUUGGUAGGGUAAAAGCCUACCAAGGCGACGAGCCAUAGCUGGUCUGAGAGGAUGAUCAGCCACACUGGGACUGGGACACGGCCCAGACUCGUACGGGAGGCAGCAGUGGGGAAUAUUGGAGAAGGGGCGAAAGCCUGAUCCAGCAAGGCCGGGUGAGUGAUGAAGGCGUUAGGGUUGUAAAGCUCUUUUACCCGGGAUGAUAAUGACAGUACCGGGAGAAUAAGCUCCGGCUAACUCCGUG
Molecule: ribosomal RNA, 433 nt
Filed under: uncultured bacterium
Lineage: Bacteria
Description: partial 16S ribosomal RNA
Rfam family: Bacterial small subunit ribosomal RNA
Source: RNAcentral